UUUUAAAUGAAAAUAGUCGGUUUACAGAUACAGCAACAAACUCAUUAUAUGGCGGAAAAAAUCGAGUCCAUUAUAAUUUUGCAUUAGAUUGGAGAAAUCGCCACAAGAAGUUUCCCGAGAAAGCCUGAACCUCCCGUGAUUAAAACAUUGCAGCCGGCGUAGAAGUUGGUUACUUCGCUUAUCCCUUCGGCAGCAUCGACAUUUGAUUGAUCUUUCAUGUUGAACAUGUCGUCGAGAUUUGCAACUCAAGUACAGGAACAGUCCAGAAUUACACCAUCUAUGCUUACUGAAUUGAUGAAGCACAAGUUCCUACAUAGAUAUAAGAUGCCAGCAUUCUACCCUUUUGAAUAUUCAGACUGCCAAGUCAGAACA
Nasonia vitripennis (jewel wasp) is the source of this 372-nucleotide long non-coding RNA. RefSeq lists it as uncharacterized. The record is from RefSeq and is a predicted model, not a curated record. The transcript has 4 exons. NCBI's taxonomy places the organism in Eukaryota, Metazoa, Arthropoda, Insecta, Hymenoptera, Pteromalidae.